AGGGCCGUAACUACCUAUGAGGCAGGGGAGGCAGUUGCCUCCCCUGAAUUUUCUACACCAAAUUUUUUUUUUGAAGUAAAAAAAUAAAAUAUUGACAAUAUGAACACGAAGAACUUGAAUUUAUAUUAUAAACAACACAAGUUAACAGUUUUAACAGUGUUAUCAUGAUACUUGAUAUGUCUGUCAUUUUUCGGAUUUUUGAUCGAAAGUAAACCGUUUCAGUAUUUGUUUUAUUAUUUUUUUCGUGUGGCCGUCCGUCUGUUAUUCAGUAUUGAGGGGGUCAGUAUUCGUAUGAGAACACAUAUGAAACUUUGCUUUCGAUAAUUUUGAAUAAAAACUUAACUAUUCACAUUUAUUUUGGGGCUCAAUUAUUUAAGCAGAGGAAGUUCCUUUUAUAUUGUGAAUCUUUUAAGAUAUCGAAAAUUCGUUACCGGCUGAAUCAGCUGUUGGAUCCUUUUUUUUAAAUUUCCCGAUCGUACGAGAACAUUAUGGUCAAUGCCUUAGUAGGUAAACAC
This 515-nucleotide long non-coding RNA is filed under the name Mytilus galloprovincialis (Mediterranean mussel). The record is from RNAcentral. Lineage: Eukaryota; Metazoa; Mollusca; Bivalvia; Mytilida; Mytilidae.